This 393-nucleotide ribosomal RNA is filed under the name uncultured bacterium. RNAcentral describes it as "partial 16S ribosomal RNA". It matches the Rfam family "Bacterial small subunit ribosomal RNA", at positions 523 to 918 of the family's 1533-position model. The record is from RNAcentral.
AUACGGAGGAUCCGAGCGUUAUCCGGAUUUAUUGGGUUUAAAGGGUGCUCAGGCGGGACAUUAAGUCGGCGGUGAAAUUUUGCAGCUCAACUGUAAAAGUGCCUUCGAAACUGGUUUCCUUGAGUGUAGAUGAAGUAGGCGGAAUUUGUGGUGUAGCGGUGAAAUGCAUAGAUAUCACGAGGAACUCCGAUUGCGCAGGCAGCUUACUAAACUACUACUGACGCUCAGGCACGAAGGCGUGGGGAUCAAACAGGAUUAGAUACCCUGGUAGUCCACGCAGUAAACGAUGAUUACUAGCUGUUUGCGAUACAAUGUAAGCGGCUGAGCGAAAGCGUUAAGUAAUCCACCUGGGGAGUACGUUCGCAAGAAUGAAACUCAAAGGAAUUGACGGGG